Molecule: long non-coding RNA, 302 nt
Filed under: Medicago truncatula (barrel medic)
Lineage: Eukaryota; Viridiplantae; Streptophyta; Magnoliopsida; Fabales; Fabaceae
Description: long non-coding RNA (MTRU_LNC006898)
Source: RNAcentral
ACAACGGUCCUCGUGGAUACAAAUUUUAUUACUUCGAUAGAAUUGGUACACUUGCCAAAAUCCUAUCACCUGUUGCAGUUGAUUUGAUGGUGCAGUUAUUGGAGGAUGAUGUGGUUGCAGUUGAGGACCAGAUGAGAAAGACGAAUGGUGCUCAUGAACAUUUUGGAUGGUUGAUAACUAUUUUCAAGGAGCAUCUUCAAGAAGCAGCUACGGCUAAGCAGCUAGUGACAUACCUGAGAUACAGAAGAAGCGUGACCAGGUUGUCCACAUCUAUUUGCCCGACUUGGUGGAUAUCACGCUCU